This 253-nucleotide ribosomal RNA is filed under the name uncultured bacterium. RNAcentral describes it as "partial 16S ribosomal RNA". It matches the Rfam family "Bacterial small subunit ribosomal RNA", at positions 524 to 776 of the family's 1533-position model. The record is from RNAcentral.
GACGUAGGGCGCAAGCGUUGUCCGGAUUUAUUGGGCGUAAAGAGCUCGUAGGCGGCUCAGUGCGUCAACCGUGAAAACCAGCAGCUCAACUGUUGGCUUGCGGUUGAUACGGGCAGACUAGAGUUCGGUAGGGGGGACUGGAAUUCCUGGUGUAGCGGUGAAAUGCGCAGAUAUCAGGAGGAACACCGGUGGCGAAGGCGGGUCUCUGGGCCGAAACUGACGCUGAGGAGCGAAAGCGUGGGGAGCAAACAGG